AUAUAUUUACGUUUUAUUAGGAUUUUAUCUUUGAUUAAUAUUAUAGAACGCAAUAUGUUUUCGAUAAAGUCAUUGAAAAAAACUCAAUUUUAACAGUGUAUAAUGUUAAAAACAUCUUUGUAUCCACUAGAGUCAAAAUAGUUUUUUCUAAAAUUAGAUAUGCACAGACUCAUCACGCGUGUGCCACUUGCACUAGAAGCAUUUUGGAUAGGAGGUGGUGAAGACAUGAGACACUCUUUCAUAUGCUCAUCCCUAGCAGUGGCUUCCACAAAGACUUGAAGACAAAGUUCACACCCUUUUUCAGCGAAAAUGGUUUUGCAUUUUUCUUUGAAUGGUCGAGAGGGAUGGUUCGGAACUGACAUUGUUCAAAAUAAUCAUCAAUCAAACACCAACCCAACAAAAAAACAGAGAACAAGAAGAUCAUAUAAGCUCAAGCCAUACCGUGAAGGUGUUCUCGAACAGAUUCGAAUGAUUUACAAUGUUUGAAGCAAACCCCACACUAAGGCUGAUGAAUCGAAUGGAACGCAAUCUUGAUGUGAAAAACAUAUUCUCUAUAAGAAUUGUACCUCUUGUAGCAAGCAACUCAUUUCUUGGUUUUGCUCCCGCCGGCUUCCAUGGCUUUCACACAACACAAACAUGAAAUUAUGGUUUAGACACAAAAAACAAAACUCGGAAUGAUAUGUUGGCUCAGUUGGUUUCUCUCUCUACUUAAGUGACUCAUGAGGUUUUGUCUUCGGUACAAUCCAUUUUUUGUAACAUUUUUCUUUUCUAUAUAACCACAAAUAUAUUUUCUUCUUCUUUUUUGUUCGCUCAUACGUCACAUAUACAUAUCAAUUGGAAAAUAUUAACUCCUUAUU
Molecule: small RNA, 857 nt
Filed under: Arabidopsis thaliana (thale cress)
Lineage: Eukaryota; Viridiplantae; Streptophyta; Magnoliopsida; Brassicales; Brassicaceae
Description: ATSL106340
Source: RNAcentral